UGCCGCGUGAGUGAAGAGGCCUUCGGGUUGUAAAGCUCUUUUGUCAGGGAAGAAACGGAGGGGGCUAAUAUCCCACGCUAAUGACGGUACCUGAAGAAUAAGCACCGGCUAACUACGUGCCAGCAGCCGCGGUAAUACUUAGGGUGCAAGCGUUAAUCGGAAUUACUGGGCGUAAAGCGUGCGCAGGCGGUUUUGUAAGUCUGACGUGAAAUCCCCGGGCUCAACCUGGGAAUUGCGUUGGAGACUGCAAGGCUUGAAUCUGGCAAAGGGGGGUAGAAUUCCACGUGUAGCAGUGAAAUGCGUAAAGAUGUGGAGGAACACCGAUGGCGAAGGCAACCCCCUGGGUCAAGAUUGACGCUCAUGCACGAAAGCGUGGGGAGCAAACAGGAUUAAUACCCUGGUAGUCCACGCCCUAAACGUAUGUCUACUAGUUGUCGGGUUUUAAUUAACUUGGUAACGCAGCUAACGCGUGAAGUAGACCGCCUGGGGAGUAGCGGUCGCAAGAUUAAAACUCAAAGA
RNAcentral lists this ribosomal RNA (519 nucleotides) under Massilia aurea. Its description in RNAcentral is "bacterial SSU rRNA". It matches the Rfam family "Bacterial small subunit ribosomal RNA", at positions 395 to 907 of the family's 1533-position model. The record is from RNAcentral. Lineage: Bacteria; Pseudomonadati; Pseudomonadota; Betaproteobacteria; Burkholderiales; Oxalobacteraceae.